GGACUACCAGGGUAUCUAAUCCCGUUUGCUCCCCUAGCUUUCGCGCCUCAGCGUCAGAAAAGGUCCAGCACGCCGCUUUCGCCACCGGAGUUCCUAACGAUAUCAACGCAUUUCACCGCUCCACCGUUAGUUCCGCAUGCCCCUACCUUCCUCGAGGCCGACAGUAUCUAAGGCAGUUCCACGGUUGAGCCGCGGGAUUUCACCCCAGACUUGUCAGCCCGCCUACGCGCCCUUUAAGCCCAGUGAUUCCGAACAACGUUCGCACGGUUCGUCUUACCGCGGCUGCUGGCAC
This 292-nucleotide ribosomal RNA is filed under the name uncultured Planctomycetota bacterium. RNAcentral describes it as "uncultured planctomycete partial 16S ribosomal RNA". The record is from RNAcentral. Lineage: Bacteria; Pseudomonadati; Planctomycetota.